Diplodia seriata is the source of this 94-nucleotide non-coding RNA. Lineage: Eukaryota; Fungi; Ascomycota; Dothideomycetes; Botryosphaeriales; Botryosphaeriaceae. The record is from Rfam.
UCCGUUAUGGUCUAGGGGUUAGGAUUCUCCGCUUUCAAAGUCAUUAUUGACUUGAAGAUCCGGAGCGGCCCGGGUUCGAUUCCCGGUAACGGAA